This 497-nucleotide ribosomal RNA is filed under the name uncultured bacterium. Its description in RNAcentral is "partial 16S ribosomal RNA". It matches the Rfam family "Bacterial small subunit ribosomal RNA", at positions 28 to 507 of the family's 1533-position model. The record is from RNAcentral.
GAUGAACGCUGGCGGCGUGCCUAAUACAUGCAAGUCGAGCGAACGGACGAGAAGCUUGCUUCUCUGAUGUUAGCGGCGGACGGGUGAGUAACACGUGGAUAACCUACCUAUAAGACUGGGAUAACUUCGGGAAACCGGAGCUAAUACCGGAUGAUAUUUUGAACCGCAUGGUUCAAAAGUGAAAGACGGUCUUGCUGUCACUUAUAGAUGGAUCCGCGCUGCAUUAGCUAGUUGGUAAGGUAACGGCUUACCAAGGCAACGAUGCAUAGCCGACCUGAGAGGGUGAUCGGCCACACUGGAACUGAGACACGGUCCAGACUCCUACGGGAGGCAGCAGUAGGGAAUCUUCCGCAAUGGGCGAAAGCCUGACGGAGCAACGCCGCGUGAGCGGUGAAGGUCUUCGGAUCGUAAAACUCUGUUAUUAGGGAAGAACAUAUGUGUAAGUAACUGUGCACAUCUUGACGGUACCUAAUCAGAAAGCCACGGCUAACUACGUG